RNAcentral lists this ribosomal RNA (508 nucleotides) under uncultured bacterium. RNAcentral's name for it is "partial 16S ribosomal RNA". It matches the Rfam family "Bacterial small subunit ribosomal RNA", at positions 28 to 523 of the family's 1533-position model. The record is from RNAcentral.
GAUGAACGCUAGCUACAGGCUUAACACAUGCAAGUCGAGGGGAAACGAUAUUGGAAGCUUGCUUCCGAUAGGCGUCAACCGGCGCACGGGUGAGUAACGCGUAUCCAACCUGCCCACCACUUGGGGAUAACCUUGCGAAAGUAAGACUAAUACCCAAUGAUAUCUCAAGAAGACAUCUGAAUGAGAUUAAAGAUUUAUCGGUGAUGGAUGGGGAUGCGUCUGAUUAGCUUGUUGGCGGGGUAACGGCCCACCAAGGCGACGAUCAGUAGGGGUUCUGAGAGGAAGGUCCCCCACAUUGGAACUGAGGCACGGUCCAAACUCCUACGGGAGGCAGCAGUGAGGAAUAUUGGUCAAUGGGCGAGAGCCUGAACCAGCCAAGUAGCGUGCAGGAUGACGGCCCUAUGGGUUGUAAACUGCUUUUAUAAGGGAAUAAAGUGAGCCUCGUGAGGCUUUUUGCAUGUACCUUAUGAAUAAGGACCGGCUAAUUCCGUACCAGCAGCCGCAGUAA